This 414-nucleotide ribosomal RNA is filed under the name uncultured microorganism. RNAcentral's name for it is "bacterial SSU rRNA". It matches the Rfam family "Archaeal small subunit ribosomal RNA", at positions 459 to 872 of the family's 1478-position model. The record is from RNAcentral.
CAGCAGCCGCGGUAAUACCGGCGGCCCGAGUGGCGGUCACUAUUAUUGGGCUUAAAGCGUCCGUAGCCGGGUUGGGAAGUCCUCCGGGAAAUCUGGCCGCUUAACGGUCAGAAUGCCGGAGGAUACUCCCAGCCUAGGGAGCGGGAGAGGCCAAGGGUAUUCCCGGGGUAGGGGUGAAAUCCUAUAAUCCCGGGAGGACCACCUGUGGCGAAGGCGCUCGGCUGGAACGCGUCCGACGGUGAGGGACGAAGGCCAGGGGAGCAAACCGGAUUAGAUACCCGGGUAGUCCUGGCUGUAAACGAUGCGGACUUUGUGUCGGACAAGCUAUGAGCUUGUCCGGUGCCGGAGGGAAACCGUUAAGUCCGCCGCCUGGGGAGUACGGCCGCAAGGCUGAAACUUAAAGGAAUUGGCGGG